Long non-coding RNA from Mirounga angustirostris (Northern elephant seal), 970 nucleotides. RefSeq lists it as uncharacterized. The record is from RefSeq and is a predicted model, not a curated record. Lineage: Eukaryota; Metazoa; Chordata; Mammalia; Carnivora; Phocidae. The transcript is spliced from 5 exons.
CUUCCCUCGGACCCGGGAGGGUACGCCGAAUCCUCCCCAGGGGACUGCCCCGUCUCCACACUCGGACCGCAGCUCUGGCUGCAGCCGGCCGAGGCAGAAUAAUCCCUCCUGGAGCGGGGGGAGGUGUCUCGGGGGCGGAGCCGGCGACCCCCGGACGUGCCCGGGACUACAUUUCCCAGGAUGCUAUGCGCUGGGCUUCGUUCGGCGCUGAAUAGAGACCCGAGAUUGAGCUCUUCGCUGACAAUUGGAAGUGGCUUGUAUCGCUUUGGAUCUGAUGGAUAAAGAAAGGAGCCAAUUGCCUCCAGAAGACUGUUCCCUUGGUCAUAAGAGAGAACGUCUGAAGGACCAUCCAAGCAAAAACUAAACCCUGGUAGGAAAAGGGUCUCAAGGAAGACAAGGCAUGGGGCCAAGGAAGACUGAGGGAGAUGGUGACCUGCUGAGGAGCCAGAGCAGCAGAAUCCCUGGGACUCACAGGCUGAGCAGCUUCAGAAUCUGCUCACUUGAUUUGCAUGCCUUCAACGUCUUCUCAAUGUCUUCUGUUGUGACUUUCUUCCCCGGCAAGCUUUCCAUCAAGGUCCGGAGCUGCUCGAAGGGCUAAUUAUACUUUCAAAGAAUACAUUUUAUUUGCCAAAAACAGAAGAAAACUUUACUCUGCACAAGUGAAAGUCAAAAAUCUUAAGUCUCCUAACAUAACAGGCCUCAGUUUCAGAUGUUUGAGGAAGUAUAGGACUCUUUGGUCAUCUAACUACAGGUAAAGAGCAGAUGGGUUUCUCACUUUGUCUGCAUUAUGAAAAUCUUCCUCCUCCUUUCUGGCAGGUGCUCCCAAUGCUAACUGAAGUCAGAACUCUUUCCACUGUAUACCCUAAAGCUUACAGUCCACACUGCAUGAAACUUCCUUUUCCCCUUGGAUUCUUUCCCAUCAUAACACACACACACACAUACACACACACAGUUUCUAAAGGAGACUUUU